Sapajus apella (tufted capuchin) is the source of this 336-nucleotide long non-coding RNA. RefSeq lists it as uncharacterized. The record is from RefSeq and is a predicted model, not a curated record. The transcript is spliced from 2 exons. Lineage: Eukaryota; Metazoa; Chordata; Mammalia; Primates; Cebidae.
AAAGAAAAACCUAGGCUUCAGUAGCAAACUCUCUGAGCGAUGAACCCCAUCGUCUUGACUCUGACUCACAACAGUUUGGACUUCCAAAAAAGAGCUUUAGAUUUAUCACUGGAUAAGCCCUGAAAAGUAUGGAAUGGCUCCAGAGAUCCAGGAUGAUUUCUCCAACUUGAUUCAGAGCCACGAAAAGCAGCUGUUAGGAGCAGACUGCAGAUGGGCUCACCAUUGUGGAAAUGGCUCUUUUCUCCCAUCUCAGGAACACAGGUUCAGCCAACAGUUCUAGAAAAGGAUGUCUAUCUAGUUCAGGAAUUCUAAAACACAACUGUGUCACAGAGGCUC